This 205-nucleotide long non-coding RNA is filed under the name Gossypium barbadense (sea-island cotton). Its description in RNAcentral is "long non-coding RNA (GBAR_LNC022734)". Lineage: Eukaryota; Viridiplantae; Streptophyta; Magnoliopsida; Malvales; Malvaceae. The record is from RNAcentral.
CACUUUAAGCAUAAAAGAAAGAGAAAACACACGUAGGUUUAGGGUUGAGUAAAAGAGAAGGAAGGAGAGAAAAUAUUGGGGUUUGGGCAUUUCCAUGUCAAAGCCUGACUCAAGAGCCUCUCUCGGCUGCAUUGCUGACCUUUGUAAAGCAAAAGCAUAGAAAGAAAGAUACUUUGGUGUAGCGUUUUGCUUUCUUUUAUUUUUC